This 253-nucleotide ribosomal RNA is filed under the name uncultured bacterium. RNAcentral's name for it is "partial 16S ribosomal RNA". It matches the Rfam family "Bacterial small subunit ribosomal RNA", at positions 524 to 776 of the family's 1533-position model. The record is from RNAcentral.
UACGGAGGGAGCUAGCGUUGUUCGGAUUUACUGGGCGUAAAGGGCGCGUAGGCGGUAGCACAAGUCAGUUGUGAAAUCUCCGGGCUUAACUCGGAAAGGUCAACUGAUACUGUGCGACUAGAGUGCAGAAGGGGCAACUGGAAUUCUCGGUGUAGCGGUGAAAUGCGUAGAUAUCGAGAGGAACACCUGCGGCGAAGGCGGGUUGCUGGGCUGACACUGACGCUGAGGCGCGAAAGCCAGGGGAGCGAACGGG